RNAcentral lists this ribosomal RNA (206 nucleotides) under uncultured Carnobacteriaceae bacterium. RNAcentral's name for it is "partial 16S ribosomal RNA". It matches the Rfam family "Bacterial small subunit ribosomal RNA", at positions 134 to 334 of the family's 1533-position model. The record is from RNAcentral. Lineage: Bacteria; Bacillati; Bacillota; Bacilli; Lactobacillales; Carnobacteriaceae.
AAGUGGGGGAUAACAUUCGGAGACGGAUGCUAAUACCGCAUAUCUUCAAGAACCGCAUGGUUCCUGAACGAAAGACGGCUUCGGCUGUCGCUCUUAGAUGAUCCCGCGGCGUAUUAGUUAGUUGGUGGGGUAAAGGCCUACCAAGACAAUGAUACGUAGCCGACCUGAGAGGGUGAUCGGCCACACUGGGACUGAGAACGGCCCAG